UCUGUUCGUUGGUCUGGGGAUUAUGGAACAGACGACGCUGGACCCGCAGGCCUCUACCCCUCCGGGUAAAACGCGGGGGGAAACAGUUGGCCUUGUUUCCCGUGAUUUUUCGACGGCCUCGGUCAGGCUUGGCCCCCUCCUCCUCCUCCUGCCCUCUCCUCCCGGGCAGAGAGACGUUUUGUUCUUAAUUUCGAGGGUUUCAGAGCGGCGCCCGCGAUUUUGCAUCCUAAGCCCCUGUUUCCACCUCUGUGCUUGCGUAUGCGAUUCGGACACGUACCACCCCACCUCUCUGUACGAUGUACCCCCUUGUAUACAAAUACGAAUUACAUCCCGGUUUUGUUCACGGCACGUGUGUGUACGUUCCUCCAACGAGUGAGAGAAACUAAAUAAAAGUAAAAUAAAACGAAGUAAGAGGGGAUACAAUUCUACAUAUCAAAUUUAAAAACUUGGUUAGUUCGUAUGGGAAAUAAGCUUACCUUUUAUUGAUAUCUGUGUUUGUGUUAAAAGGUAUAUUCUCACACACUCACAUAUACACACAACAAAAUCAAUGAUUUCCAAUGUUCAAUGUUUAGAAUAUUAUUUUUAUGAACUAUAAUGUUCAUAACAAUGAAGUGGUAAGUCCUCUUCUUCCGGUAAUCAUGUCUAUGUGUAAGUAAUUUGACAUUCAUCCUUGUUAACCAACUUGAAUGUGGAAGAAUGAGUGAACAUGGAGUGACAAGAAUAUUCCCUGUCCAACAUUCCAAAGGCCAUGAUAUGGUUAAAUUCAUGUCCUUUGCAAAUUGAGAAAAAAUAAACAAAAAAACAAAACCAAAAAAAGUGAGAACCAAAUAAAACAAGGGAAAAAAGGGAAGGGAGGAGGACUGUACAUAUAUUCUGUUGAGGUCAUGAUACAAGAUGCAUGCUUCCAAUGCCAUACCAAGUCUGCAUCAAGCUGAAACCCUUACUUUGCAAUCCUUUACAGUGUUAUGAAGAAAAAGUAAAAAAAAAAAUCAAAAAAAUCAAAAUCAACAACAACAACACACACACACACACACACACAUAUAUAUAUAUAUAUAUAUAGAUCCGUCAAUGAUGAGUUACUGCCAACAGUCUUGAGGAGCCACUUUUUACGGGGGGAUGCAGUGGUAUUGGAUUGUGCAGAGGGGAAUAUUCUCUCAAUGAAGGCCCCUUGCAUUAGUGGGGCCAAUCAUAAAGUACAAGCCAAAAAAGACAGUUGAAACACUAAAUAAGCUCUCUUCGACCCCAAUAUAAAAAAAUAAGUACAAAAAAGGGAUGGGAAAUAAACUUUUAAAAAGUGUGGAACAUUAAGAAUUAGUUUUUUAAGAAAGCCAAGGAUGUCUGCGGUGGAGAACAAAGAAUCUGAGCCUAGGCGAAGGACGUGUUCACACCGCUGAGCCCUAUGACACCCUAUGGAUGAUAAAUUCCUCUGUCCUCUCUUACAACUCGUUCCAAACAAUAUAUUUUUCCGGUAGGUCGUCAUCCAACCUUGAGUCAAAUCGAAUCCCACUCCAGGUCAGCUUUCCAUCCAACGCAGAACCCAAUCACGAGACAUGUUCAGCUACGCUGAUAUGGCACUGACGUGGACUGAGACUUUCUGACUUCCAAGCUGCCCUAUUCCAUGCGAAACAUGCCAUGGCCUAUUCCAUCUCUGUCAAGUGAGUGGCACACAAGUGAAAUGGAUUCCAAUCCUUGUGAAGUCUCACUCACUCUAUCUAUUUAUCUUCUAGUGCCAAGGACGGUUGAAUAAUUCAAAGCUGAUAAGUUUAAUGUGGCAAAAAAUAAUUAACACUUAUAUAUAUACAUAUUUCCCAAGACCAUGAGGAGUAUUCAAUAUACUCCAUCUGGCAAAACUAGGGCAAUUCAUGAUGCUCCUGCCAUUGCAUUUGCCCAGAGAACAAUGUGGCCUCAGACAGAGUGAAUAAAAGAAGAAGAAGGGAGGGCCUAUUGGGUGGGGACCCAGUGGCCCAAGUGAAUUCCACCCCCAAAACCUAAACCUUAAUCCUAAAACUGGGCUUGUGUUUUAGGGUUUAGGGGUCCAAAGGGUCUAUGUGGGAGUUGAUUGUAGGGUUUUGAAGGCAUGGGUUUGUUGGGAAAUCCAAUUCUGUGAGGAGAGGGCUCAUAAUGAAGAAGAGCUAAUCUAUACUUGAGACAAAGGGGGGGGGGGGGGCUUGAGUCACACACUGAGUUUAUGUGGGCCCAUGAGGAGUCAGAGCUUUCUCAGCAAAACAAUACAUGUUGUCACUGCAAGUGGGUCUUUGCUGAGCAGGCAGCGCUUUAUCACCAUCCAUUUUUGUUAACUAGUGUCAACUGGGUUUUGGAAUGAUAGUUUUUUGCAACAUGGGGUUAAUGUUUCGGUAUUUACGGCUUGCUAAUAUUGAGAUUUCUGUAACUUUUAUGAUAACUAAAUCGCUCUUUGCUGUAGUAAUUUCACUAUUUUUAAAUAUGUUUAACGGUUAUUUUUCAUGUUUUUCGGAAUUAGGUUUUAUGUUUCGAAGUUUUGCAAAUUAGUUGUGAGCUGUUCUUUUUGAUGCAUGCGUGUGUUCCGCAAAUAGAGUUACUUACGAAUUUAGUAACUAUGUUGGAUGGGUUUUUAUAUUGUGAUUUGUGAAACAAAUAAUCAUGAAUAUCACAAAUGAAAUUUUGUGUAAGUUAUUGAGUUGAAAUAUGUUAUUUACCAUGAAUACAUGUUCUCAAUUAAGAUUUUUAAAAUGAAUGUUGUAUUUGAAAAAAGACUGCAAAACAUUUUGAAUGCUGGGCAAGUAUACUCCUUGUGUUUACAAAGAGUGAGACCAAUUUUUAGAUAUUUAUUUAUUUAUUUAUUUAUUUUCUUAGACACUUCACAAAUGAUAGGUAAUAUUUUUGGAAACAAAUCCAAGGAAGCGUUUAAGUACAAGUAUUUAUUUUUUAUUUUUUAUUUUUUAAAAAUAAAUGGGUUCUGAAAAUUGUAUCUGGUCACACACAGAUUGUGUUUAUAGUGUUAUUUUUAUUUUGAAGUUCCAUUACAUGAUUUAGAGUUAAAAUAAAAAGAUACAUGGAGUUUUUCCCCUGACUUACAUGCAAACCAGAUAACAGAUAAAUUUAACUCUUAGAAAAGACAAAGUAACAUACUAAAAACAUUCUAUAUGUAUAUAUAUAUAUAUAUAUAUAUAUGUGCAACAAAGGAAGUGUGCUGCUUGUAUUUCAUGAUAUCAACAAAAUUGGAAUAACUUCAAAAAUUGUAAUUGGAAUUGCUAUUUAUCCUGUUAGUUGUGUGGAAUGAAAGUUGUGUCAGUAUGAUUUAUUUAAUAUUUUUGAAUAUGUUGGUGUGGUGUUGAAAGCUACAACAAAACAAACGAUCUUAGAGUAUGUCUUAAAUUAAUGUAAUUCAAAAAAUGAUAUUAUAUAUAUAUAUAUAUAUAUAUAUAGAAACAUUAUGUUAGUAUUGACUGUAUCAAUAUUUUGAAAAAUACAACACUCUGAACUUACUCAAUAUUUAUUUCUUUUGUGAAAAAUGGUAAAAAUCAUAACCAAUAUUAUCGAUGCAACAUAAAGUUUUAUUGAUACAUAUUAUAUGACUUAUACUAAUAUUAUUGAUUAAGUUCUUUACAAUCAGUUGUCCCAGGUUCAAACACUGUUUGAAUAUAUUUAAGAGUUUUUAAUUUUUAUACAAUUACCAAGUGCACACUGAAAUAUUUAAGUUUAAUUUUUAAUAUUUAUAUCAUUUCUAAUGAAAUUUUAAGAAUACUGGAACAAGACUAUUAUAUGUAUAUAUAUAUAUAUAUAUAUAUAUUCUUAUGUUAAAAACUAAGAUAAAACAUUUUUGGUUUCUUGAACUGCUUGUUGGCAAAUAAUUUAAUGCAUGUUAGGGAAUUAGUUUGAGUAGGAUACGAGAUUAAUCUUAUUGUAACAAAGAUUACAUUGCUGUCUGGGAUGACUUCUAAAGAAACCUUUUUAAUAAAUAAAAUUAAGGGAUAUAGAUUUUUUUAAAAAAAAUAAUUUCGUGUUCAAUUUAUUAUUUACUCUUAAUUAGUUCAAUAGAAAUAUGCACUAUACAUACUUACAUACAUACAUACGAGUUUAAAAUAUACUUGAAAAUAGGUAGUUAGUGAAACAACGUUGUUAGUAGAAAAAUGAAAUAACCAUACAAAGUCAAAAUAAUAAUUUCAAAAACUGUAGUCUUUUGAUAAUCUAAAAAUGUGUAUCAAAAUUUAUAAAUGUAUUUUGGAUUCUAUCAUCAAAGAAAUUUAAUGAAAACAACUAGCUCCUAAUUUCUGUUUUUGAUCUUUUUAGAUAUUUCAACAUUUAUCUUUAAAAAAUUGGAUUUAAAAUGGAAAAGCAUGAUUAUUUAAAGUUGAAGCAUGAGUGUUGUGGAUUGUGAGUUUGAUUGAUUAACAUAAAAUUAUAAUUCAAUCUGUAUCUUAAAUACUUGAUGAUUUUUCCUUUCAUAAUUAUCUUCCAAUAAAACCUUUUUGUUGAUGGUUGUAUAAAAAACUUGUAUAAUUUAUUUUAUGGGAUAUAAUGGUAACAGAAAACAAAAAUUUGUAGAUUAGUCUGAGAAUAGAGUUGGGACAAGAAUUUUAAUCAAUUGGUGUUAAGAACUAUGAGAUUCAAAAUCUACAAUUUAUUUCAAAAUACAAUUGAAGACAUAACUUAAACUUUUACAAAAAUUUGAAGUUGGUUGAAUGUCUGGAUUUAUGUAACUACAAGGCUUUAAAAGUAAAAGAGUGAUUGAUUGGGAUUUAAAGUAGUUAAAAAUAUACAGAAAUACCUCACAUAUCAUUAGGACAUGAAAAAAAAGAAAGCUAAGAAAUAUCAUUUAAUUUAAUUUUUACUAAUGAUAGACCUUCCUUGUAUUUCAUGGUACCUUGCAACAUACGAUGGAUUAUUUAUUAACAAUUAAAACUAGAUUAACCAGAAAAUUCUUCAAUAUAAACAUCAUACAAUAGAACAACAUUCUGCUACACAAAUACAAUAAACUAAAACUUAGAAAACUAAUAUCAAUCUGACCAAAUAUACAAACUUUUGACAUCAAAUUGAAUCUUCAAGCUUUAGUUUUGUAAGGAUUCACACUAUUUAAUUAGUUACCAAAUACUUAUUAUUCUCAAAAUUUUCAUGUUUUGACUAUUUUUAUAUACUUAAAAAGUAGUUAUAGAUUAUAAAAUGUACGCACCUACAAUUAUAGGAUAAUAUAUAUAUAUAUAUAUAUAUAUAUAUAUACUUAUUAGACACUUAUUUUGGGCUUGAUCUAUUACCACAUGAAAUGAAUAUCCUUAAUGCACUUUUGUCUCGAAGAAUUUAUGGACAUAAAAUUCAAAGCAGUAAUAACACUUCCAUGUAAAUAUAACAACUUCAUAAAAAAAAGCUUUUGUCUUACUUUUCCCGUAGAAAGGCAUAGUACAAUGGUGAAUUGAUUUGUAAAUGCUUUAAUCUUAUUAUAGUUACCAACAUGUCUUUAUAUUUUUUUGAUUUUAUUUUAAAAAGUAAAAAAGUAAAAUACAAUAAGUUUUUGCUUUCAUGAAAGAUUCAAGAUAUUUUCCAUGUCUUUCUAAACUAAUUUCAGGCAAGUGUGAAGAAUUUAGAUUUAUCAUCUAAACCAAGAUAAGUUGAAUUUAAAGUUUAAUAUUAAAAUCAAAUAUUCACUUCAAAAUAAGCCUUUGAUUUUUUAUACUAUUUAUUUACAAAACCAUUCAGUGGAUACCUCUCUUUAAUUAUGUACACCCACACACACACCCUUACUAGAAAUGAUUAGUCUUUAUUUUAAUUCGCUAUUAUUGGUAUAUUUACUAUUCUAAUACUAAAAUUUGAAUAUCCUUAUUCAAUUGUAUUCUAUAGCUCCAUAUUAUUUCAAUCUUUACUAUUUUUUUCUUGCAAACUCUUAUAAAACUAUAUUUUUAGAUAAAAAAUAUUCAAAAUGUAUUUUAUUAUUUUUAUCAUUGAUCAAUGUCAAAUAACGUAAAAUAAAAUAAAAUAAAAACUACUUGUUUUUAACAAAGACGUGAAUGUGUAGGUAUGUGGCUUAGGAGAGUGUUUAUGUAAUAAAAUAAGGGUGUCUACCUAACAAUUAUCUUUAUUUAUUUAUUUAUUUAUUUUCGAGUUUUUGUUCUGAAUUUAAAUUCUAAUAAUAUUUAAAAUAAACCUCAUGAUAUCUUAUUUAAAUUGCAGUAUAUGUUUUAAAAUAUCAAGAUCUAGAUCCAAUAAGUCUAAAAAUUAGUUUCAAAGUUUUAUAUAAAUAAUUAUCAGCUAAAAAAUUUGAAUAAUAAUUUAUAUAUUAAAAUAGAUAUUUUAUUUUUUAUUGAAUAAAAAUUAAAUUCUUAUCCUUGAAUAAUAUUUAAAUAUUUAAAAUAUGCUUUAAUUUUCUAAAGUGUAAAUUAUAUUUUAUAUUUAUUUCUUUACAUCUUUAUCUUUUUAAUGAUCUUAAAUAUAAUUUGUGGGUUUAAAAGGAAACUAAAGAAGUUUUAAUAAAUAUUAUAAAAUUUUAAAAUAAAAUAUUAAUUUUUAUUUUAAAUUUGUAAUAUAUAAUAUAAUUAAAUACUUAUUUUAUUAUAUCUUAGUAUUUAUCAAUUUUUAUGACUAAUAUAUUGAUAAUAGUUUUAUAUCAUUACAAAUUUAAAUUUUUUAAAUCUAUUAAGAGGCCAUAAAGUAUAAAACAUGUUCAUAUUAAUUGAGUUAUUAGAGAUAAAUAAACAAGAAGUAGAAUUAGAUAAAAAUAUAUUAUGAAAAUUUUAUCUUCUUUAAGAAGCUUUGAGAAAGUUUCUUAGAUGUUAAUUAGAUAUUUAGACUUUUAUAGAUAUGCCACAUGACUAUUAAAACUUGUCUUGCAAGUUUCUAACUUUUAAAAAGUUGAGUAGGAAGCAACCUACAACUUGAUGCUAAGGCCACAAGCUUUGUAUUUUGUAUGAAGCUUAUGCUAGACCUUCUUGAUAACUAAUAUUCAUAGAGACAAUACUAAGGUCUUUUUUAAUCUUGUCUUGUGUUCUAGUCUUCGUUCAAGUUUCUCUAGAUUCUUUGUAAUUGCAAUAGUCAUUCUAAUUUCUUUCUAUAUCAUAUCUACCUUUUAUUUAUUUAUUUAUUUAUUUCAUUGACACAAGAAUGUGUUGUCUCUAUAAGAUUUUUUUGUGAUUCAUGUCUUUGAUGUAAUAUUGGCAUAAUUUUGGUGUAUUCAAACUUUUUAUUGCAUAAAAUAGAUGCAUGUUAUAAUUGCUAUAGAAGACAAAAUUAAAUAUGCCAAAGUGAUAGAAAAAAUAUCAUAAUUGUUUUUAAAUGAAAUAAAAAAUUAUAAACAUAUGAUUAUUAUUUUAUAUUAUAAAUAAUUUGAAUACUCAUAUUUUUUAAAUAAAAAAUUCAUUUAUUAUUUAUAGAAUGCACUAAUUUUAAAAACAAAUAGUCCAAAAAUUUAUAUUAAUAUAUUUUUGAAAUUUUUUUUGUAAAAAUUAGCAUCCAAAUAGUAAAUUGGUUGAGACUAGUACUUAUCUAUGGUAUGAACUUUUUAGCAAAUAGUUUACAACAACAAAAUAAGCUACCUUUUGUUUGAAUAUGUUUAUUAUUAAAAAUUCUAUAAAAUGUAUCAUGUUAUUGAUCAAUCAAAUUUUACAUGGAUUAAGAAUCUAAUAUAGAUUUUAAGUUAGUUCAUAGUCAAUCUUAUAAAAAUAAUUUAAUGAAACCAAGUUCUAAAGUAAGAAUUAUGCAUAUAAAACUCAAUAGAACCAUUUCUAUUUGUAUGCAAUUUGAAGCAAAAUUUAACAUUAUGCACUUAAAAAUUACAUUCUAUAUCACCCUAAAUGUACAAAUUUUAACAUAAUAUAUUUAAAUAAUAAAUAAUAAUAAUUUUAAUAAUGAACAUAUAAAUGACUUCAUACAAAAUCUUAAUUUAUUGAUUUUUAAUUCAAAAUUUUAAAUACUAAUUUUUUAAAGAUUAUAUUGAAUUACUACAAUAAUUAAUAUAAAUAUUCUUUCCAACUAUUACUUUUAUAGAAAAAAAACUCUUACCUAUUCUAAAUAACAAUAAUAAUGAUAAAAAAAAACCUUAGACAUAAGUUUUAAGUAUCAUUAUUCAAAUUAUUUAUCCAUUAUUAUUACAGACAUUACUAUUAUAAUAGUGUCUUAUUGCAAGACACUAUUCUUCUUUUAAUCCUUUAUAUUAUAGUUUCAUCUUCUAUUUUUAUUUAUUAAUUCUUACAGUGUCUAUAGUAAAAUGCAACAAUUUGGCUCAGUGUGAUAUCAUAACAAAUUUCAAUUUGGUAUUAGCAUAAUUUCACAUUAACAACACUCCAAAUAUAUGUGUGUAUGUAAGUAUAUAUGUAUGUAUCAACCAACAACAUACAAAAACAAUAACAUUCAUUGUUAUUGGUAAAUUAUAUUCAUUAAAUUUAUUGUUUGAUAUCCUAUUUAUUUUAUCAAUUUUCUUUAUUUUUAGGUAUAAACAUCAUAUAUAUAAAUAUAUAUAUAUACAAGGAUUAAAUAAAUUUUAAAUAGUAUUAUGGCUCACUUUUGAGGUGUUGCCUAUGAUAAAAUCCAACAUUUACUUGAUGUAACUGAGAAAAAUUAAAAAAUAAUCUGAAACCAAAACCUACAAAAGCAGAUAUUAAGAUGUCUUUUUCUCUUAAUUUGCCAUGUUAACAUAUUUUCUUCAUCUUUUACUUACUUAAUCAUUCAAUCCUUAUUCGUAAGGGCACACAUAUGGUAAUUAUCUUUGGAAUUUUUUGGAUUUUUUGGAUUUUUUUCCCCUCUCAUUAGACCAUCAAUAUUGGGCUAUUGUAAUUGUUUUAAAAGGAAGCAGGUGUUAAAGGUCUUGCUAUUUAAAUAGGUGGACAACAUUUCAUAAAUAAUAAAUCAGGCAUGAGAGUAUUUCCUUUUUAACAUGAAUUUCUAACUGAUCCACUCAAUUAUAAGCAUAUUAAGAGAAAGAGAUAAAAGAAAAUCUUAGAAGAAAAUAAAAUGCAAGGAACCAUUCCACACUUUCACUAAAAGUAAAGGAUAAUAAUAAUAAUAAUAAUAAUAUUAAAAGAGCAGCAAUAUGAAGAUAAAAAGAAGUGAAAGCCUCUAGCAACAAAUCAAUAAAAUUGCCACAACUCAUAUCAAAUAUUCAACACCAAUAUGUACUCAUGGACCACAUUCACAUGUCUAUGAUGAAAAAAAUUAAAAAAUUAAAAAAUUAAAAUUACAAGUAUAGUAGUUUUGAGAGUGCAAGAAUCAUAAUUUUACACACUUCUUUUAAUGAAGGAUCCAGAUCUUUGUUAUUCUUCUUUCAUUGCUAAUAAAAAUUUAAAAAUAAAAUAAAACAGAAAAAAGAAAAGAAAAGAAAAGAAAAUUUUACUAAGUGUGUUUUUUUUUUUUUUUUUUUUUUGAAAUUGAUAUCAUUGUAUUUAAUUGACAAAAAUAAUCAACUUCUAUUAUUUCACAUUUGGGUUCAUGUCCAAAAGACCCACAAAUCUAUGUUAACGGUCAUGAAAUCACGUUUGAAGCACAAAAAAUUUCAAUAAUUUCAAAAAAAAGGAAGCUUGUUGAAAAUUGUGCUCAUUUUUGGUCCACCACACUUGAUAUAUUAUUUAGGUUUUUAUUGUUUUAUGUUUUAUAUGAUCAGAUCAAGGAUCCGGAGCUUCAACAAAUGAUUUAAUUGGCUUCAGGACACAAGAUCUCUAUCUCUUUAAAUUAGUGCCUUUCAUCAUCUCCACAAAACAUGGUACGAGUUGCUUUUGCGGUCAAACAUGAUAUUGUUUUAAUUCCGAAGGCAUUUUCUUAGAAUGUCUUGUGUUGACAUUGGACUCAUAAGAACAUGAUGCCUCUUUGCCAUUUGUGGUUUUGUAAAUUUGUAAUGUUGCUUGGUCUAGUAUGUUUGUUGUUUCCAUCCAAAAAAAUCCUUUUAAAUGUGUUGAAACCAAAGUUGAACUUUGACCAACUCUCACAAUAUAGGUUGUCUUUCUAAUGAAAACCCUGAUUAAACUAUGCCUAAAAUGUAUAUCUAUCUAUCUCUCUCUCUCUCUAUAUAUAUACAUAUGCUCUUGUGACUCAACAUACUAAAUAUAUAGUUAUUUCAUUCUUAUCAUAUCAUUGGCUAUUAAUUUAUGGGUUAAUGAAGACUUGGCAUUAUAUGUUACUUUGUAUCAUUCCCAUUUUUUGAAAAAUGAGGUGAGAGGUUGGAAAUACAUGGAUGCAUUAAGGACUUCUAGUUAUACAUCUCUUUGUAGACAUGAAUAGUGUAAUUUUAAAAAUAUGUGAAAAAUCAUUUAUUUGUUUGAUUCUUUGGUUGAUUGUGAGAUGUAAAUGUUCAGCAGUCUAUUUUUGAUUUAACAAAUUAGUUUGAGUUAAACAAGGACAAUACUCUGAUAAUCUACUAAUCUAGUUAAAUUCAAUAAUGGUACGUUUUCUAAAAGUUACAUAUAUAGAACUACUUUAAAAUUAAAACUAUUUCUAUGCCAUCCAUUUUUUUGAUUUUUUAUUUGGUUUUUUAAAGGUUUUGAUUAAUAAAGUUUUUUGCAAAGUAAUUUUUAUUCAACUGUCUUAUGUUCUUUAUUUCUCAAAGCUAAUUGAUAAUAAAAUUUAACUUUAAUUUUCCUUCUAAGCCACAAUUGGUUUUAUUCAUAAUAUUACUAAUUUAUUUAAGGAUUUUAAUUGAACAUGAAAAUUUAAUCAUCUAUUGCACAAUAUAAUAUCCCGAACACACUAAAAAAGAAAUUAUUAUUUUUAUUUAUUCAUUUUAUUGAAGAAUACAAAAGAAUCCAAAAUAAAAAUUCCAUCCCAUGCAAGUCCACACAUUAACAGUUCCAACAAACCUUAAAAAUCAUCUCCGUUACCUCAAAACAGGAAUAAACCUCAAAAAUUCUACCAAAUAAUAUCAAAAACUGUGAACCUCUCACAAGCAACAAAAACAUCAGCAGCAUCUCCUCAAAUACAAGCAAAGCAACAUGAAAAUAAAAAAUAAAAACACACACGCACUUUCACCACAAAACCUGCAGAACAGAAGCUGAUGAUGCAGUAUUAAGACUUAUGCAUCGAUGGAAUGGAACAAAAAAACGAAACAAGGCACAGAAAUCGAAUACAACAGCUAGCCAUGGUAUUGCACAGACUCUAGAUCUGCAGAAGCUUUUGAGGAGGUGGAGAACAAACACACCCAAUUUGCAAUUGCACUUAAAAAGAACAGGAGAAGUGGUUGCCUUAAGCUUACGAAAACUUCAACGUCAGGUUUGUGUUCGAAACAACUUCGGUAUUUAAAGAGGUCUUUACUUUGUGCAGCACUUCACAGCGGCGCGUAGUGCUCACUCCCGCUGUCAUGCAUAAAAGUUUAUUCCAUUUGGGUCUAUAACAUCCAAGUCCAAAAACUCCCCAACUGUGAAAUGUUUUCCAUGUAGACGUCUACUUUUAAGAUUUGGAAACAGAUUUUGAUGGAAACCUAAAAGGAUGACAUGCAACAAGUCGCCGAGUGGUGCACCCGGCAUGUCGGACCAAGGCCAGUCCCUCUCUCCUACGAGUACCGUUUUGUGCAGCUAGAAAAACUGCUCGAAAUUGAUUAGCUAGUGCGUGAAACUUGGACAUUUGGAGUGUAAUCCUUCUACUUUAUGAAUAGAAACCUGGGUGGAUUAUCAACCUACGGUGCUGGAUUGGGAAUAUUGGUGUCAGUCUGCUUAAUAAUAUCGGAAGCAAGGCUAGUACCAGCCUGGACACGGGAUUUUGCCUCUUGGCCAUACUCCGUCGCCUUCUUCUUCACUAACCCCGCUCCUUCGUUCAGCUUGAAACGUGCGGCACCAACCUGGGCAGCACACAACAUUUGAUCAUGCAGUAAAUGCCUCGAACAAACACACAGAAAUAAAGCCACAAUACACCACGGUUAGUAACAAUAUGUAUAUGUAUAUAUAUAUAUAUAUAUAUAUAUAUAUAUAAUGUUGGCUGAUUAUAUCAUGGAAGAGAAAAUUCUUUUGAUUUUGGGGCCUGCCAGUGGCAAUUUUGAGGAUUGGAGGAGUACCUGGUCGGAGCCAACGGGAUGAGCGCCCUUGAAAUACUUGUACACCCAAACGAGAGAGGAGGCGAAUCCGCCUAAGCCCAGCGCAACAGCGAUGACGAACAAGGCUCCAAUCCCAAGCGGGAUGAGAACUGGGCUGAACAAGAGGAGAAUUGGUAAUGCCAUCACGGAGGCGAAGGCGGAGCCAGCAAGCGUGACAAAUGCAACAGUAGUCACCGUCGCUGCCGCAACCAAAAAGAUCACCAAACCCAGCACCUGACGCCAUUCCAGCGGCAAAUUUUGAUGCGCGCGGUAAUACGAAUCCUUGACCCUGUCGGCCAUCUCGAACCUCGAUGGGUCGAAUCCACACUCUUUCAACAGCCGGCUAACACUUGCUGAUUCGAAACUAGACUGGGUUUCAGCAAGAGCAGAUAAGCAGAUCGAGCUGCGACGAUGCAAAUGCAACUUGAAGGCGUGGGAAGAAUUUGCAUGGACGGAAAGCAUGAAGCAUGCCGCCAUGCGCGGGUAGGCACAUGCAGUUGUGGAGAGAUUCGGACGUGGUGGGCUCGAUAAAAGCAGGCCAACGUUUCCAUGCAGUCCAGACCAGAGCACUGAAGUAGCACAGACCAUCAGAGUCAAAAGUAACUGGGUCCAAUACCAUGCAUACUGACAAAUGCUAAACAGGCUAACACUUCAUCACUACGAGUGUUAUUUGUCCAAAACUAAAGUAAAGCAUAAUGUAUUAAUGCGAAGAACAAUAUGACAAAUUUGGUGGGCAAGACUACCGGCCACUUCAGCUUAUGUAAAAGCUUCGAAUUGGAUUAGUUCCUGCAUUGCUAGCCCCAUGACCUUUACACAAAUUGAAGCAACAUUUUAUAAACGAUGUUUUAAUGCGAAGUUCAUGACUUUUUAUGUGCCAAAAAUAUGUCCAAUAUAGCAAUACGUUGAGAAAAUGUAAUCUCUCACUCCCUUUUAGCGUGGCCCCUGUGUUGGAUACUUUGUGCACGAGUCUGCACUAAAGACAUAACAGGACCUGGUUUCGUCAGUUGGUCUUAUUUCUAGCUGUAGAUUAGUCCAGCAAUUGAACGUACAUUCGAGGGAAAAUUCCGUUAAUGUGAGGCUCCAGGGUCAUCGUGUUAUUAGAAAAUUGAGUGAUAUCAGAGUGUGCGUUCGUGAGUUACAACGCUAUAUGUGUUGAGUGAGUCGCAACACACCUCUUACGGUAAUGCUCUACUCAAAACGAGGAAAACAAAACAUUUCUCCAAACCUUACACCCCUCGAUGAUGGGCUCCACUGGAUUCUCUUGAACCAUUUUCAAAUACCCUCUCCAGUCUGUGUCUAUCCGUCUUAAGUCCUGAGACUAAUCAUACUAAUCCCUUCAGUCCGCUGGUACAUCUACUGUUUUGUCAGCCAGAAACUACAACAGAAAACUAGGGGAAAUCCUCUUACUUCGCUAACAGAGUCCCCAAGAAUUAAAGAUGUCCACUCAAAGGUCUGGACUGGCUUCCUCCGCAGUAACGUGCAGUACAACUUGCUCAUUGUUUCUUCGCUUCACCACCAUUUUGAAUGAGGUUCCAACUUUAUCUCCUAAAGCUUCAACGAUCUGUCAACAAUUUUGAGGGACGUGAGCCUUCAAUUCAAGGCAGAACCCAACAAAAAGAGGGGCGUUAUUACAAAGAGAAAAUUAUUCUACAUGUUCACUAAUAUUGAUUUACACACCUGAUCAAUGGUGGUAACAGGAACCCCAUUAAACUCAAUUAUCACAUCAUCAUUAAGUACUCCGGCUCGAAAUGCUGGAGAUCCAGGGAUUACCUGCAAAAAUCCACAUACUUCAUUGCGUGCACAUUGCACUUCCACGAAUGGGAAACUAGCUCACAUCAAUAUCAAGAAUUCUCCUUAUAACAACAAACCCAAUUAAAAGAAGUAGAAAUGAAGGCUUUUAAGUCUUCCAGUAGGCAGAAAAAAUAAAAAUAAAAAUAAUUACCUGAGAGACAAGUAUGCCUGCGUUAACAUCAGGAAACCCAGGCCUUCUUUCCUUAAGUUGCGAAAUUCUAGGUUCAGUGAGCUCCCACAUUUUCAUGCCAAGCCAGGGCCGUACCACAUGCCUGCACUAGUAGAGAGAAUCAUGUUCCCUAAUUCAUGUUGUAUUAUACUCAUGGACCAUUUUGAUAACAAUGAAAUGGAGUUUACACGAGCUUUACAACAUGAUCCACAAAAAAUGGUCGAAUGCUUUAUAUAAAGGAUGAAGGAAUUCCAGAUAAGACCAUGACAAUUCUCAAAAGCAAGCAGAUCACGUUAACCAUACGGUCUUGGCAUAAAAAGAAUUACUUAUGAUAAUUUUACACGGAGCAUCAGAAACAACCUGCGCUUUUUGAGCUGGUCUACUAUUUUAAUCGCGGAAUCAAUUGGUAUAGCAAAACUGACACCAUCAGCUGCCAAAGCCUUCAUCGUAUUGAUGCCAAUCACUUCACCAUCAAGAUUUAACAAUGGUCCUCCCGAGUUACCCUAGAACAACAGCUCGUGUUGAGUUAAAGUGACACUCCGGAUUUACGACAAUGUUUACAGGCUACAUCAUUUGAAUAUAUUGACUUGUCUGCACAAGUUAUAAAGUAUGCUGGCAAUAUUUAAAAGAAACAAAUUACAAGAACGAACACUCAUUGAACAAGGCAUCAAAGUCACUGAGUAUGCCAUUAACUCGCCCAUUGACUAUACCAAGUAAAAGAAUAGACUUGAGGUAAAAAAUCUACCGCAUAGCAACAUACCUGAUUGAUAGCAGCAUCGGUUUGAAUAUACCCAGUCCCAACUCCUUCAAGUCCAAUUUCUGAGCUUUUGCGGUCUACGCAACUAAAAACAGAAAAAACAGAUUCUCAUAUCAGGUCUUCGCAAACAAACACACAGUCAGAGCAGGUAAUCAUAUUAUUCUAUCCAGAAUUCUAAAAUUUUGCGAGCUCAAAGUUGAGAAACCCUGUUAUAAUAGUUGAACCAUAUUUAAUGACAAUAAAUAAAUAAAAAAAUUAGCAUCUUUCAUCUCUCAACAUUCCGUUCUUAAGAGCUUGCCAGAGAUAGCUAUCAGACUUCAAACAAACGAACAUGAGGAAUUUAAUUUACAUAAAUUACUGUGUCACAAAACUCUAACACACUCAAAUUUAUGUCGUUUCAUAGGUGAAGGCUGAAAAAAGAAACAAUAUGUUACUAAAAUCGUCUCACUUCACAUGAAUGCAUCUAUAGUAACAACCAGAACAAGAACAAGAAUUAAGGCAUUCCUACCUGAUAAUACCAGCUGUUAUUGUAUUUUGUAGAUGAAGAGGACUACCCAAAGCAACCACCCACUCACCCGGCCUGAGAUCUUUGCUUGAUCCAAGCUUCACUACUGGUAGUGGCCUAGAUGAGUUCACUUUUAUCACAGCUAAAUCUGAUAAAGAGUCAAAGCUGACCACCUCACCCUCGAAAUUCCGACCAUCUUGCAACGUGACAAUCAACUACAAGGGCAUCAGUAAAAGAAAGCAAAUACCACAAUUGCAGAGGAAACAAUAUGAUUUCAAAAUAAAUUGACUUGGAGCAAUAGAAAAUUAGGACAAAUUAUCCGCACAAACUUUCAAUAAUAGCAAGUCCACAGACAGACCCAGAAACAAGGGCAUUGAAAUCUAACAUUAACAGGUUCAAGUCAUACAUGCUCACCGAGCCUUUGUGGAGACCACGCCGAUCAGUAGCAACAACAUGCGCAUUUGUCAGAAUAGUACCAUCUGAUUGUAUUAUGAACCCAGAGCCUGCCGUUUCUCCAAAAAAAGCAUUUCUUCUACCUGCACUUCCAAGAUAUCUUCACAUUAUAUUCAAAUUACUCGAAAGCAACACUAUUCAAUGAAUUUUGAGAGCUCACUAAUUGCAUCAUAAGAUCUUCAUUCGUUAUUCCAUACAAACCUCGAGAAACUGGGGUACUGUUGAAGAGUUCGUUCAGACGUCAGGCACGAAAAAAAUCAAAAUUUCUAUUUCAAGAGACAGGAAAGUAUACAAGUAAGAACUCACCCAGUGAGACUUUGACAUUAACAACAGCUGGGGCAGCCUUUGCUGCAGCAUCAGCAAUAGCAUAUCGACUUAAGCAGCCUCCUUGUUUGGACGGUAAGGAAGCACCUUUAGUGGAAGGACUCUUUGCCGCUGAUCCUGGGAACGGGGACGCGUUGGACACUCUAACAAUUGGAGUCCGAUUAUUCAAGUUACAGCCUUCACAAGUAACAAAUCCAAGUACUGAGAAGGAAGAGGAGGGGAAUAAGUAAAAAAUAAAAACCAUAACACGACACAUCUAAGGAACGGUUCGAAAUAACUAGAAUGCAUAAUCACAAAGUCAAAAAACACGGCAAAAGAGUAUACGUCAAGAUCUUGUACCGUUGUCACCAGAGUGGGGCAAAUCCAGAGUUCUCCUUGGUUCAUUGAACCGUCCAGAUUCUCCCUCAUGCGAUGGUGUUGUAACACCUCCACCAAUACCAUCCCUCUCAGGCCUCCCUAAUUAUCAAGGUCCCACAAUUCACCUAUAUCAUGACAUCGCCUCAACUUUCAGUUGCACAAUUGGUUUCGCCUGCGCAGCUACAUCCAAGGCAUCGAAUAUCUAACAGGUCGGGCAACAAAUGACGUCAUUGUCUUACCAUUCAAUUGCUCUGUGUAUAGGGCUCCCGAGGUUGUGCAGAACACCAAACUUGCCACCACAGCAGACCUUAGCCCAAACCUGUCUGAAGGGUUUGCUUUACAUUCAAAACUAUGUAUUAAUUCUCCCGAUGAGCGCAAUGGCUUGGAUGGAGCCUCCUGAAAUCCAAACGUCAGCACAUUGGUCUUAAGCAGGGAAAACAUCCAACAUAAAUACAGAUAUUAAAUAUAGGCUACAACUGAAUUGCUCUUCGGCAGCGGGUUCAGGUUCCCAAAACCAAACUAAUGCUAUGUUACACCAGCGCUCACUUGAUCCUGUACAAACCUCAACCGUUUCAAGAUACGCGAGUAUCUACAGCUCGAUCUAUCCUAAAUCAAAAGAUCCGAUUCUACCACAGAAUUCUUCGAUACAAAGGUAGAGCUCUAUUAGCACACAAUUGCAGCCACUUCUCAUAUGAAUCUACUCGUUCCUAUCAACAAUUGACCAAUACUCCCUCGACUAGAAUAUAAUACAGUUGCCUAUCAUAGCCUAAAUUCAAACCGAUAAUGCUGAUAUGAACCCCAGCGAAACAAAUGCAAGUGAAAUCGAGAAAUAAACGCACAUUUGACAACUUGCCGAUAAACUUCAAGCUCUGCCUCGUCCUCGACGACCAACGCACUGCCAUCUCUGCACAAUUCUUCUUCCGAUUCUCAGCAGACGCGCGAACCCCGCACAAGUUCCUCCUCCUCCGUUAAAUGCUUAAAACAACUUCCUAAGAUCAUCCCUCAAUUAUAGUUCCUUCCCCUUCCUAACGCUAUCUGCUGCCACAUUCAAUCCAACAAACCCCAUUGCAGAAAUCAAUUCAGAGCUCUCGCAAAAACUCAUAAAACCCGACGCUCAGCAAUUUCAAUAUCUCCAAACCCUAAAGCUAAAACUUACGUGAGCACUUUUCUCUACCGAAACUCUUCCAUACUCUUCACAAAACCUCGAUCCGCGCUCAAACCUCACGAAAUUCAAACAAAGUGCAGGCGAUUGUGGCGAUACAUCGACGUGACCAUCAGUGCAGCAUUUCUUCUUAUCGUCUCUUAGGGUUGAAAACCACGCAGAAUCGAUGGAUGAAUGAUGUUCGUGUGGAUGAAUACAUUUUAUGGACGUGAUUGGAAAGUAUUCGUUACUUUGGAUGUUAAAGUGAUGUCACACUUCUCGACAUCUUACAGAGGAAAGCGUCCAAUGGUAUCAAAAAAACCUUGCACAUGGAAAUAUGAAUUAGAGAUGAAUUUAUGAAAUAUAUUUAUGACAUAUUUAUGAAAUAUAUAUUUAUAUAUAUUUAUAUAUUUAUAUAUAUUUAUAUAUUUAUAUAUAUUUAUAUAUUUAUAUAUAUUUAUAUAUUUAUAUAUUUAUAUAUUUAUAUAUUUAUAUAUUUAUAUAUUUAUAUAUUAUAUAUUUAUAUAUUUAUAUAUUUAUAUAUUUAUAUAUAUUUAUAUAUUUAUAUAUUUAUAUAUUUAUACAUAGUUAGAAUUUUUUUCGUAAAUUAUUUGUACAAAGUGUUGUACCAAUUUAGAAAAAAUUUGUGGUGAACAAAGUUUGUUAUUUUGGUUGAUACAAGAACAAUACAACCAAAUUUUUGACCAGCAACAAGAAUUGUUUCUGUCUCUUGUUUGUCUCUUGCUAGAUGGAUAGAACAAAUUUCUACAAAUAAAAAGUCCAAUUGCCAAAGAUCUAAUAGUUCUUGUUUUGAUUUUUGAUUUUUGAUUUUUUUAAUCUGAAACCCAUCUUUCUGUACGUAAAAAUGUUACUCAUAAAUUACUUGCUUGUAGAUUGCAAGACUAAGCAAGCAAAAUAUUUUUACACUAGCAAAUGAAAUUGUUACAACCACCCACCAUUGAAACAUGUAUAUUAAUUAAACAGGUAUAUCUUCAAAACAAAGGGAGUCAAUGAGAAAGGGAUGAAGUCAGAGGAUGAAUGUGGACUAACGAUAUAGGAUGAAUAUACAGAUAGAUGGAUGAAGAAUAAUACAUCCAAUGGAUGAGGAUGCUUCCUGAUCGGCUUCGGCGUCGGCUUCAGCUGGCUCCCGUCGAAUAAGCUCUCAUGGCUAUUGCAUGGCGCCUUUGGACUUGCCCAUUCGAAUCCGGCCCAUCGACGGUCGAAGCUGUGGCCUCCGCCGGCAGAAUCUGCACUAGAUUUACAGAUUAUUUCGAACCUUUACUCAAAUUCGACUUUGUAGAAGCCGCAGAAUCGACAUCUUGGGGAAUUAUAUGCCAAUUGUAGAGCUGUAUGCACUGCCCUGAAUUGCAGAGGUGAAGCUGUUUGUGCCGCGGAGAGCCGAGAAGACUGUCUGUGUCUGCAUUUGUAUAUGAGGAGGAGGAGGUGGUGGUUUUGUUUCAUAUGCCUCGAUGCUUCCGUUUGUUGAGUUUCACAUGCUGGCUUGAUUUGGAGCUUUGGGAGAGGGAAGGGUGAAUAAUUCGUUGGCGGAUUGGUGUGCCGGCCAUUGUGAGGACUCAGUCGCUCCUGCGUGUGAUUGGGCGGUAGUCAGUAUGAGAUGGGUGCAGUGGGUUGCGCUGUCCUCCUUGCGUGCCGCCCGAUCGCUCACAACCUCUUCUGCGCCGACCGGGUUCGGAUUCCAUGUAUGUAUGCUUCACUUUUAGCUUUGUCGACUAACAAACUCGUGAUUAGACUUAAAUUUUCGGGGAUCAUAGCUGCGCUGUGAAUGUCGUGGUUGGAAUAUAACAAUCAUCGGUCAAUGAUGCAACUUUUGUACUUCUUGUAAAGAAAAUGGUGCAUCCACGAACUUUCGUCAUUGGAUAAGAGAUCAUCUCGACGCCCAGAAUCUGGAACCCUAAUUGCUGAAUUUAGAUUAGCAGGAUAUUCCUCGAGGAAUGAGACUCAACAUGGGAGUCGGUGUCAAGCCUUAUUCGUAAAUUCUUUUUUUAAUUUAGGUUGUAAAUUUUUUCUUACUACCUCAGUGGUACACUUUAAGUUUGGUGCAUUUGUCGUGCUGUUAUCGCUGUUUUCUUCAGCCUCAGGGUCAAAAUGCUUUUAAGGGUCUCGCAGAUUAAACGUGGAAAUUAUCAUUGGUUGAUACUAUGACCUUUGUCCUCGAGCAGGACUGUAGCUUUGAACUAGUGACCAGUUUUCAAUUUCCAGAAUUUGGAGCUUCAAUGUCAGGGGUGAGAUAUCUGAUGAAGGAUUGUGAUCUUUGGCAUUUGGAUUUGAAGUAGGACGCUAGCUUUGAAAAGAGUGGGAAGAAUGUUUUCGGGUUCUCAGCUCGGGAAUUGGCAUUUGGGAUGUUUUAUUGACUGUCUUCCUAGUAUUAGCAGGGGUAUUCGGGAGUAUCUGCAGUGGUUUGUAAACAGGGGAGUGUCGUAUCUUUCCAUGCUUUAGCCCUUGAGAAAGAACCGCAACCAGAAGAUGAGCGUCGAGAUGGUGAAGUUGAUCGUCACUCGAAUGAAAAGCCGCGCUCGGACAAUUUAAGAGAGAAAUCCAGCAUUGAAGGAGGUGAGAGGGUCAAUCUACGCCAUCUUUUGCCAAUUCUGUACUCAGUUCUUCAGGUUUUGCACUUCAUUCAGUUCAUUCUGUUAAUUUGGAAUUUGUAUUUCAGCAGUAUCUGAAGGUAUGGCUUAGAUCGACUUGCUGCAGAUAACGAAGUGGUGCUUAGGUUGAUCUUGUGUGGUCUCUGCAGUCUCUCCUGUAAGGUCCUCUACUAUUGAAGCAGAUCCUCGUUAUCAGAGGAGACAUGCUGAAGAAGCAGAUCGAGUAUCUGAUAUGCUUACUGAUUCCCAUGGAAGGAGGCACAAUUAUUUGAGAAUAUCACUCACUGAGCGCUGCAACCUACGUUGCCAUUACUGCAUGCCUGCGGAAGGUGUUGAGCUGACACCAAAUUCAGGGCUGCUUUCUCAAGAAGAGAUAAUCCGAAUCGCUAGCACUUUUGUUGCUGGUGGGGUUGAUAAAAUCCGGCUUACAGGGGGGGAGCCAAGCAUCAGAUCCGACAUUGAGGAAAUAUGUGAGCAGUUAAGAAGCCUUCCAGGUCUCCAAAACUUAGCUAUGACUUCCAACGGCAUCAUUUUGUCGCGUAAACUCUUCAGAUUGCAAGCGGCUGGGUUAAACCAGCUUAAUAUUAGUCUAGAUACAUUAGUCCCAGCUAAGUUCGAGCUCCUCACAAGGCGGAAGGGACAUAAUAAAGUCCUACAGUCCAUUGACACAGCGUUGGGAUUAGGAUUCUCUCCAGUUAAGGUAAGACGAUGUUCUUUUUCUUUUGAACCCUGAAAGUUUGAGAUUGGAUCUAGAAAUAUUUUUUCAAGGGAAUAGGUUCACUGUGCAGGUUCCUUAGUGAUGAUGAUUGACGAUGAUGGAAGUUUUGUGUUUCGCGACCAAAACUAAUUUUAAUCUUUUGUAAUACUUCCAGAGUUUUGUAUGAUCAUGCCAAAUCAAGUUAAGCAAUCUCAACUUCUAGGUGGCUCGUUUUAACUGUUUGUUUGUUAUAUGUGCUCAGGUAAACACAGUUGUAAUGAGAGGUCUCAACGACGACGAGAUCUUAGAUUUUGUUGAGAUAACGCGGGAUAGAGAUAUCAAUGUCCGGUUCAUCGAAUUCAUGCCUUUUGAUGGCAAUGUUUGGAAUCCCAAAAAGCUGGUUUCGUACGUGGAGAUGAUGGACACGAUUGUAAAUCUUUAACGCCCUUUAUGUCUUCAAUCCAUAUCUUUGGUACAUUUUCAUAGUUCCUUCGAAGUGUAUAGAAUAGUUCAAAUUUACUGUCGUGAUUCUUCUUGACACGCAGUACACGUUGUUUGAUUUGGUUUUAUCAUUCUAUAGCUAUUAUUGUUUGGAUGAAAUCUUGUUACCAUACCCUCCACUGUUUGGAUAUUUAGUGCUGAAUUGGAAAUUGUCGCGCAGAAGAAUAAGUUUCCGAGUAUAUAUAGACUAAAAGACCACCCUACCGACACAGCUAAGAAUUUCCGGGUGGAGGGGUAUCUAGGCACGGUGUCAUUCAUCACCUCGAUGACUCAACAUUUCUGCUCAGGUUGCAAUCGGUUACGACUUAUGGCUGACGGCAACCUCAAAGUCUGCCUGUUCGGUCCAUCAGAGGUGAGCCUCGCACCAAGAUACAUGUGUCAAGCUAUCUGAUUUGUAGUUGUCAUGGCAUUGCUCAACCAUGCGUGGAUAGUCGUUUCAAAUGAUUGUAGGAAAUGACAAUCCCUAUCCUGGUGUUGUGUACUCGCCAACCGUGUGCAACUGUUAGACAUGUGUUGGAUAUCGUGUGUGAGACCACACUCGAAUACCUUUGCCUUGUGAUGGUUUAAGCUCUGAUCAGAAGCGUUUCAUUGCCAUAACUGCAGUGGGAGACAUCUGAAUUAUACCCUCUAAUACAAUAAUUUAAGGGUGUGGUUGAGUUGAAUGUUUUGAGAGAAGUAACAGUUUUCGAUGGCUUUUAUUUGAACCACAUUCACACUCAUAUGUAUAUAUUGGUUUCAGGUCAGCCUGCGGGAUGCGGUACGCAGUGGCAUGCAGGAAUCCGAAUUGCAGCAGGUCAUCAGUGAUGCGGUUUGUAGAUUUUCCUUUUCUCUCUGCAGUCUGUGGAUACUGUAUUAAUCAUUCUCGUAUAAUAUUUAGGAGUUUAGUACUAGAAAUUGCCUUAGUAAUAACGGAUUGGGAUGAGAGACCUACACAACUGAUAAUUGCUUUUUGACCUGUGCAGGUGAAGCGAAAGAAAGCUGCGCAUGCUGGCAUGUUUGAGUUAGCUCGGACUCAGAAUAGACCCAUGAUACACAUUGGCGGGUGAUAUGGCACUUAGUAUAUUUGAAGGUCAGAAUGAUUGCUUGAGUCAGAAAUUUAUUAUAGAUUGUGGUUGCGUAGAUGGAUUGUCUUUGAUGCAUUAUAUGUGAUGUGAACUAAUAUGUUUUGUUUUGUUUUGUGUGGACGACAGGUUGUGGAAAGGUGAAAUAGCUUUCUCAUCUGCUGAAAGCGUAUUCGACUUGUCAAGAAGCAGAAGUUGCCAUUAUUUAAUCACGUAAGUUUCACUUACUCGGUUGUCUCAGUGCAAGUCCACUGGACUUUUGGAGUGGCUGAUGCUUUCUGCACGUAUCUGUCCAGCUCUAGAUUGUCAAAUUUGAACUUCUUACUAGUUGAUUUAUUGCAGGUUCUCAGCAUCGUAUGUGCGGCUCCUACACAUCUUUCUAGCAAGUUCGUUGUUCUGCCUCCUAUUUAUAUAAUCUUGUACACUCUUUAUUGCGGCUGGAAAAGCAUUGUUUGGCGGCUUCAUCGGAUCUGGAGGAAUUUAAUUUGCCAACAUGUUCUCGGAUGUUAUGUUAAUGCAUUGUACCAUUAGGCUCCAAUUAGUCAAUUCUCACAGUUAUAUCUUAAGAGCAUGAAAGCCUUGUUCGACUAGCUUUAUGGAUUCUUAUUACUGGAUUGCAAUAUGCACUUGCCACGUCUGCAUGACCAGAAUACUUGUUCGUGCAAUCGGAGCUUUGUUUAAUAUGAGUCUGUGAUUGGCCCUUCGUUUACGCAUGCACCUCAAAAUCACGUAUGCGGGCGGAAAUUUAGUGCUUAUCAAGCAAUUUGCAGAAUCUGUUACCUCUGAAGUGGAUUACCGACAUCACUUGACAAGGUCUGGGAGUCGCUUCUCGUAUACGAUCCACACGCUCAAGUAUUUGGCUUAUUUUAUUCUUUACAACAUUUUAAUUUUUUUAUUCUUCUUACACUUACCUUCGUGGUGAAUUUUCAUGCAACACAUCUAUUUUUGGGCCCAUUGCUUUGAGCUGAAGACACUGUUUCACCCCUGCAUUACAAGUAUCUGACCCAACCAUAUGGAUAUUCUGCCACAACCAAAAUUAAUUUAUUAACUUUGUUUAGAAAGCUUAUGAAGUUUUCAUCAGUACACAUACCCUUUAGUUAGUACCAACAUUUCUAAAUUACGGGCUGACACAUAACAAUCCUACUUUAGAAAACAUAUCUACACUGCAAACAGAACGAAACACUGUGCCGUGAGCAAUCCAUGUCACCAAUUUUGCUUUGCCAAGUAGCUUGACAUGACCCACUGCUGCUACUCCGCUGAUUUUAUUGCAGAAAACACGCUUCUUGUGACAACUCCAAAAAAAAAAUCUUAACUUCAGAAAAAUAUUUUUAUUAAUUGAAACAUCUCACUAACAUAUUGCAUGAAUCUGCCACGAGAAAAGCCACAUUAUCCGUGGGAAAUUGUCUUCUGAAAACAUCCGACAUUCAAUUAACACCAUUCAUCCGAUGGCCUUGUUUUGUCUCCUUUUAUUCUUCUCACCCCCACUGCGCCGUUUCGAGUGCGAGUCGUAAUGCAUAUGUCAUGCUUGAUGAUAACACGGCACCAAAUUUGAGCUUGGACGUGCCACGAAUGUCAGAUAUUGGUGUCGUGAGCAGGUAGUUAAGGCUAUUGCAAUUGUGGCACAUCGUUUUGAAGGUGCAAUCGUCUCAGUUUGGAGCCCAUUUCAUCUCCAUUUCGCUGCUCCCGAGCUCUCUCAACAUCAACAGAUUGGAGAACCCGGCAUUGUUAGGUACAAGAGUCAUGUUGAUCGAAGACGGGAAGUGAUGCCUGGGUUUUUCUUUCGAAGUGCAUUGAGAUCGGCAUAUAUGUGGGUUGGAUUUGAGUUUUUGCACGAGGGGAGGAACGAGAGUUGAGCUGGGUUUUUGAAAUACGUGAGGUUGGUUUGCGAUUGCAGGUUGGAUCCAUUGAGAAAUUGUCUCGCAGGGAUGGCGAAGUUGGUUCCUAAUGUCCUCCCUGGGGAGGUCGACGUUGUGGUGGCUGCAUUGAAGCCGGACUUAGGCUAUCUGGAAGUAUGGCGGGAGAUGUUGAAGGGAUGCCAUCUGAUUGUGGUGCAGGGGGAAGCGUUUCCCGAGCCGAUAAGAGUGCCCGAAGGGUUUGAUGCGGAUGUGUAUACGAGGGACGACAUCGUGAAGUUGUUAAGUGCAGAGCUAGUUAAGAAGCUCGGAUUCAACGGCCGUAGCUGCAGAAGCUUCGGCUACCUCAUGGCCAAGCGGCGGUACGUGUUCUCCAUGGAGCCGGAUUGCUCACCAGCCCAGGACCCGGAGGGCUACGUUGUCAACCCCGUUGUGGAGCAUGUCGUGAACCUCAAAAUUCCUGCGACACCACUCUUUUUCAACACAUUAUACGAUCCAUAUCGAGUUGGGACGGAUUUCGUGCGAGGGUAUCCGUUUAGCUGGCGGGAGGGUGUGCCGACAGCCGUGUCUCUGGGUUCCUGGAAAAAUGCUACCACGGGACGAUAUGUGGAUGCGACACUGACCAUCCCGAGGAACACCUUGUACACAAUGAGCGGGAUCAAUCUGGCAUUUGAUCGAAGUCUGGUGGGACCGCUCAUGUUCGAGCCUCCUCAGCUUGCCUCUGCAAAUGGCGCUGGUGAGCUUUGGGCGGGCCUCUGUUGCAAGACGAUUUGUGACCACAACUAUUGGGGUGUGAAGACUGGUUUGCCCUACAUCUGCCGUAAUGAAGCGAAUGUAGCGAACGAGAAGGCUGCUUUAGGGCAAGGAGAUGGCAACAAGCUGGAUCUAAUUGCUGGGUUUUUCCAGACCAUACGGUUGAGUGGCAAUCCAGUGGAUGUAAAGGGUUGUUACCUUGAACUGGCGGAGCAAGCGAAGUCCAGGCUGUCGGCCGGAGAUCCCACCUUCAACGAGGUUGCGUCGUCUAUGCAGGCGUGGAUCGCAGCUUGGAGUAAGCUUGGCCAUUAACACCACCAUUUGAAGACAUAUAUUAGGUCUGGUUUUAGUUUCAGCAAGUCCAUACUCCUUGUUACAUACUACCGAGUAUUGAAAGUAUUCUAUCGGGCUUGUGUCUAAAGGAGAUCUGUUGACGGGUCCUGGUUUUAAGAGUUGUUACAAAAGGUUCUUGCUUAAUCUUGCUUCGGUUUAUAUGCUCUUUUCCUUUUUUGCUGUCAACCGUCAGCAUGUGCGACCCAUACGCUUGCUUAUUAGAUCAUAAAAUUAUUGAUGUAGUUCUGUUUACUACACCGUUUUCUAGUGUGGUGUACAUUGAUUCUUAAAUUCCACAUUGUUUUACUUUUACAUAGCCGCAAUAAAAUCUUGUUCUUGUAAAUUUCACAGUAACGCAGUUUUUUAAAAUCUAAGUUUCAUGUAAGGGGUUACUUCCUACAGCGUUUUAUGGAAUCUUUUUAGAAUGAUAAUUUUUCAUGGAAUAAGUAAUAUUGUUAUAAAGAGGGAAAAUAUCCAUUAACAUUCCUCUUAUUUUCUCACUUUUUUCCUGAUGAGAAACUCAACAAAAGAAUCUAACCAUUUAUCUGGCUUCGUUUCCCAUUCAACGCCUAUGAAUCUAACAGUGCGUUUGCAGCGUUCGUAUAUUUGUGACUUGUGAUCAGAAGUAUGAGUAGUCCUACAGUGUCGAUCUCCGACGUGAAUUCCUAGCACAUAAAUUCUGUUUGAGAUAAGGAGAUUUAAGGACGUGAGUGGUUGUUUCUAAUUUAUCCCACUUUGACAGCCAAUUGGACUCCCAUGUAAACAACGGUAGUAUAAUAACUCAUCGAACAUGAACCAUACUUCUCUCUUUUCAACAGAACUGAGCUGCAUUCGAUAUCGAUUCUCAACAAUACACAAUGAUAUGCCUCUUGAAGCGAGGUGAUUAGUCUCAGUGUGCGCAAUCAUGCACACGGUUUUCUCAGGAAAGGUAUCAAUAACCCACAAAAAUUAAGUGGCUUAAAUUAUCUACCCUAAGAGAGUUCCCUUUACACUACAGCCAAUUGCUGGUUCAAAGUCUUCAAUCUUGAAAAUUAUCUGCCUUGCGAGAGUAAAAAGGAGGGUCACCUUUAUUAUACACUUCGCAGAUGCACACAUCGUGCUAGGACUAAUAUGCUGAGCUUUUCACUGAACAUACUCCAGCAUAUGAUACCAGUUCCGUCGAUUGUGAAAGGCUUCUCCAGAACAUUCAGGUCUUCAGGUACAAGAUCCUGUCCAUGAUUCUGUCCGAUUUGAACGAUCCGAACGAAAUUAACAACCGGGGCACACACGGGGCUGUGUUGCUGAAAGAGCAACAUAAAAUUUCUACCCGUCUAUUCCUAGUAUGCUUUUUCCUGUUUCAACAAAACUCUGGUAGCCAUUUUCGCCUGCAGAGAAAUAUAGAGCUCUUCCCAGGAUUGAAAUUCCAACGAACUAUGCAGCUAGUCCCCCAAGUCACUGAUAAUCUGCUCAAUUCUCGGAUAGAUAGGUUCAUUCACUGGGCUCGUGGCUGACAAUAUACGCAGCUAGAAGUUAACGCAGAGCAUUCCCUACCAUCUCGCACAACAAAGUGUGCCUUGCUUACGAACUCUGUACUUGCGGUUCUUCCACAAUGACACCAAGCUUCCCACAAAUGCUUCAAAACCUCCGUGCUUAGACCAUUUUUUUUCAUAUUUAAGCACUCCAGCCCCUGAGCCAUUCGGAUCCUUUUGAUAAGAUUCUCUAUCACAUGAGAAUCCGCUUGCUUCUCAUUGGAAUCUGAGUCGGCCAAUCCUCCGUCUAUGUCCUUCACAAUUUCAGAGAUUUCUGGAAAUCCUUCCUCUACUUGAGUAAGCUCGUUCAGGAAUGCAUCUCCGUAAGGCUUAUCGUAGGUGCCAAGGUCAAUGGCUGCAUGUUGACCUUCAUGGUCAGAAGUUUCUUGGAGAUUCGAAUCCGUCUUUUUAAUUAUGUACGGUGCAUUACAGUUUGAAAAUGUACUUCUAGAAUGUUCCGUACCAUUUAAAGGAACUCCUGAACCCUGCUCUUGAUUAAGGGCAGAAUUCGAAGACUUCGGAGUCUGUUGGGUUACAUGAUUACUCACGUCAAGGUCUAUGCUUGGAACAAUCGCCAUAGCUAACGAUUCUGUGAUCCCAAAUUUGAAAUUUCCAGCAACAUGAAGUUCCCAUAGAACUGAGUUUCCUGUUAAUCAAGAGCGCGUGAAUCAGUUGAAUUUCAUAAAUCAACUUCAGAAAUGUAGCAGCUAUAAAUAUUGAACUAGAAGCAAAUAGCCAAGCACCUCUGCUUUUCUCAUAAUGUUGUACAGAACAAUCAGAAUGAGCCGAGCUCCCAGUAGAAACUACCAAAUUUUCGCAAGUUUUGAAAUUCCAAUCCUGCAAGAUUUUGCUCAGGCUCUCAUCGUUAACGAGCUCAAAAUGCGUAAGGAAACUUACCUUCGAGAGCCUGCAAAAGGAGAAGGACACCAGUCUGACCGAUGCAACAGUCAUCCAAAGUAAGAGACUUCCACCGACACUCUUCUUGACGUAGAGCAAGAGACAAAACUUCUGCCCCCUGCAGAUACAACAUAUUACGUACUUCGGAUCAAAUAAUUUUGAAAAAGCAAUUCUAGAAGCAGAAAAAGAAGAAUGAACAAAUAAAUGGAUGAGCAGCAACGCAUUUGGUAGUUCUCUCGACGAUCUGGAUCACAGAAAUAGAAUCGAGACACACCUGUUCGCUAAGUUGAUUAUUACUGAGAUUCAGUGUAGAGAGCCCAUAUAUGGAUGCCAUUUUAUGGCAAACUUCUAGAGCUGGUUCUCGACUUAAUCGACACGAGGAUAAGUCAAGGUUCAGAAGCUGCACAGUGGUUCCUGCCAAGGCCUUGCACAUGACCUGUGCACCAUGCUGCAAACAUACAAUUUCCACACUUAGAACUGAAAACAUACCGUGAGACAGACUUUUAGGUGAAACUACGCUCAUCCACAGGUUUAACAGGACGAAAAUGCUGAAAACAGGAAGAACGACGCUUACAUUUUGAAUCUCACAUCCUGCCAUGUUGAGCACGGAGAGACUGGAGGACUUCAUUAAGGAAGCAGCUGCAAGCACUCCUUUAUCGUCGAGCUCAAUACCCCGUAUAUCAAGCUCUGUGAAACUGAAAUACAAUGAAAACCUUGUUAGGAUGCAGGCCCUUACACGAUUUUUCCACAAUUUCCUCCCUCAGACAACUACAAUACCCAAAUCGCAGCCAUGAAGUCAUGCAUCUAUUCAUAAGUGAUUAUCGAGUACGUCUAGUCUUUAGGGGAAUAACAAUCUGUGAUAUCGCUACCAUGCGGUAAGAUUCAUAGAUGUCGAAUGUGUACCUCAGGAGCCUCGAGAGCUUCUGAAAUAAGCUGGACAGGGCACUGCCUCCAAUUGGGUUGUUGUGUCCUGCGUUGCAAGAUCUAAUAAUUAUUACAUAGACUCUGCAGCGAGGGAGCAUCUGAGUUGUCCUGUCAGCAUAAUUGCCCAGGCCUCGAUAAAGGCGACAAACUCACGGGUGUAAUUCAUCAGAGAUGUUUCGCUAUUUUCGGCAUUCUUCGUAAGUUAUUGACAAAGACAUUGAGGUGGAGUUUAAACUGACUCACCAAUGCAGAGUUUCACAAGCGACGACUCUGGUUGCAAAGAACUACUAAUCUGCUGUAUCGUACGUGUAGUAAGUCCACAUCUCUCAAUCUCCAAAGUUGCCAAAGCUGCCAAAUAACACAAAAAAGUUGUCAAGCAGAACGGUGAAAACAUACAAGAGGUGGAUAGAUUUCAACAACAAGUCCAGAAGCCAUUUGCGAUUAUCGAUCUUCGACACUUGAAAACAUAGCACUGUGUGGAAGGCAUAGAAUAGCUGAAAUUUGUACCUUUGCUUUGUCCAACGAUGGCUGCCAGGUUCCUUCCAGCAGCAUCUGUAAGGCGGUUUCCCGAUAGUUUGAGCACUUCCAAACGAGAAAGAGUAACGGGGCAUUUGGCAAUCUGCGCAGGGCAAAGACUAUGUCAGUGUGGAGUGCAAACAAAGAUGUCGACAUCUAAGUAAAGACUACAGGAAAGACAAACCAUCGCCACUUCAGAUUAAAAAACCCGAGAUGCUAGAGUAAUCCCAGUGUCAUUACCAGAAGAUUAAAACAUGAUUAUCAUUACUUCCUGAAAUGCAUUCUGCAGGAGCAAAUUGUAUAAUUGCAUUCGGUAUACCUUCACCACAGGAGAGCAGAACCAGUGCGCUGACAAUCUGCCAUUUCUAAAAAAAUUCAUAAACAACAUGAUGUACGUUGUCUAUGGUAGUGAGAAAGGCUACCUGAACAAGAGCACCAGCUCCCAACUGGUUCUUAUGAAGGUCCAAAGUAAGUCCUAAAUCACACUGGUUGGUGGCAGCUACCAUCUCUUGUAUAGCAUUUAUUGUUGCAUUGCCUGUUCACGAUGAUUCAGCAGUUGAGACACAGCAUGUUGGAUAAGACUAUAUAUAUUAGUGCCGACACCAAUAUUCAAAAAGGGUCUACUGCUUAUUUCACAUAAAAAAUUCCUUGCCGCAACAACAAAUAACCAACUAACUCAAUGCUGGCCAAGGAUGCACUUAAACUGGUGAGUUCUAGUCCACCUUGUAUCUACCUGAUUCCAGCAAAAGCGUAAAUGGUUAUCGUUCACUUCAAAACCUCAAUUGAAGCCAUUGAGGACAAGCAUCGAGCUGAGAUAAAAAUCAAGAAACACGAGAAGAAAUGGUUCUUACCAAGGAGAUUAUGAGACAAAUCCAGAAACGAGAGUGCUUCGUUUUCUUGCAAAGCAUUUAUCAAAGGCCUGACCGAUAUAUCUUGUAGGUCACAGCUGGAGGCAUCAACCUCCUCAUAGGAUCCCUGCAAAAAAGUUGAUUUCCGAUUACUCAAUUUUAAUAGAGCGAUACAAGAUAAUCUACAAACUUAGGAUGGAGCAGGUAUUCUUAUCAAAUAUCAUAGCAUACAUAGCAUAAGAUAAGAACUACGAGAGGAGUUCAUUUUGCGACCUUGAGAAGCUUCAGCUUAAGUGCGAGUGCAGCAUUAACGCUAGUAUUAGCAGCAAUGCAGUGCGCCUCGUACCGCUCCACAACAGGUAUAGCCACCCAACCUGUGUCCUCCCACUUACUAAAUCUUAGUUCGUAUCACAUAUUUGAAUUUGCAACAUUAAUCCAUACAGCUGAGCACACGUAUUGUCAUUGACACUAAUAUCUUAGCCAACAUGUACUUCCAGGCUUUCAACACUACAUUGAAAGCUGUUUUAAGCAGGUUUCUAAGCUUAAGAAAUCCUUUAAGAAAAGUCUACGCAAGUUCUGCGCAAAUGCUAUGAAAAGAAGUUCGUAGGCUUGGUACGUAGAACUGAAACACCUAGAAAACAUAGAUCUUCAAGUGUACCUUGAAUGAUAGCAUCUAUAGAGUCAUCAGCGGUAAAAUCGUUCAAAACUUCCUCAAUAAUCUGAAUCGGCUUAAGGAUACUGCCUUUGAACUCCAGUCUCUGCACUACUGGUUUUUUGCCUGCUCACAUUAAAAGUAUCAAUGUUACUUCUCAUGGUUCAUAUUGUGGCAACAGAUAAUGGAGUUGAACACUUCAAGCACUAAAAUUGCAGUCUGUUCGCCUUUAAUUUAGUGGAGGGUACACGUGCAAAUACAUGGCAUAUUUUGAAGCCCUUUGAGUAUCAUUGACAACCAAGUUUUUGAAACACAUAUCAUUCCUGUUAUCAUGGCCAAGCUAACAUAGCAGCUAACUUAGUCAACUCACCACCAUUAAUUGCCAUCAUCUAACAAUGACCUUAUACAAAUUACCUGCUGAGUUAUCACAAGUGUAGAGGCGAAUAAUCUCUUCCAUUAACCAGCCAACUGUUUUAUUUCUUUCUGUCUCAGACCGCUUGAUAAUCACACGCAGUGUUUGCCCAUUGAUGUUGACGGGGACGAUCAAAGGUGCCUUCAAAUUAUACAAAAGAACUUAUUGAGACCUUGAUUUACAUCACAAAAGUGAAAGAUAUGUAUAGCUGCAUAUCCAUUGAGGAUCAGCAUAUUCAAAUAAACAAAAUCUUUUAAUUCAGAGUUUUGGAUAGUAAUAAAUCCAAAAAAUGAAAAACUCAUAUUUGGGCGUUCCAGAAUGACAGCGUUCAAGACAGGACCACUUAAUGAAAACAAGCUGACCUAAAAUAACAAAAAAAAGUGAAAUAAAAUAUCAAGCUUGCAAAUUUCGUUUAUAUAAUACAUGCACGACACAUAACGUCACCUGAAUCACGUUAGAACGCGCUUGUGUGUCACUGUUGUGCGAAGUAGCACCAUCUUGGUGACUUGAAGAUGAUUUUCUUGCUUCACGUUGAGAACCCCGGACAAGUGAGCCACUUGCUAAUGUCUUACCCAUAUCUCCAGCCACUUGAAUUAAUGGCUGCGAUUCAUCAUUGAAGUCUUCGUCUUUCCUACGAGAAGCGUUGCCUGUACCCAAUGAUCUUGUGAAAGUCCAAUCUCCAUCCUCUUGCAUAGGUCUCCGCCCUGGACUACGUUGAACGACAUCACUUCGUCGUGCUAAUCCACUGUUCCUAGUUUUGGAGUUGAGAGAAUUUACAUUCUUAUGCUCAAUACCUUGAUCUUUCGUAAGCUUAGAAUGUCUCAGUGAAGAUUUUUUAUUGCGUUUAGCAGCUUUACAUGCUUCCAAAGCAGUUGCUAGAGGUUCGUCGUCAUCGGAGCAAAGGUUGAGGGCUCCGCUCUCUGGUCUCUUAGAUUUUCGCACACUUGAAGAAGGACGUUCCUUUGGUGCACUAGGGCCUCUGGCGUUUGACCGGGUAUAUUUUCUCUUUGGAGGACUUGGGAGCAUAGCAUCAUCAGAUUCUUCACUUUCCUCAUCAGAUAACACCAUCCUUGAUCGUUUCCGGAAGUCUGGUGCUUGUGAUCUUCUUACCAAACCAGUGCGGCUUUCUGUUUUUCCCUGUGGGUCACUAAUUCCCUGGGCGUUGAAUGUGCUGCCCAAAAGUGUACAAGAAGUCGCAAGUUCUUCAUCAUCAAUGUUCAUAGCCUCUUGUGUAGUAUCUUCCUCAGCCUCAUCAUCUGUUUCUGAGCACCGAUCAUCACUAUCCUCUUCCUUCUCAAUCUCACGGUCCUCCUUAAAUUGCUCAAGCUUUUUCAUCUCAGCUUCCACAACUCUAGUGUGACAACACCCUCCCGCAUCAUGAAAUGUACUCGAGAAAGACAAGUUGCAAUCUAAUAACUUCGAUUGAGGGACUUAACAGAACCACCCAACAUCUUAACUAUCCUUCAUCUGAGCUACCCAAGAAUAGAUAAAUUAAUCUAAGUGUGAGUCGCAGCCUCUUCCCUUAUUUUCUAAACUAACAACCGAAGAAAGCAUGGGUUCUCUUCUAACUUUCAAAAUAAUAUAUGUACACAGAAAGCACUGCUGAUAUCAAGCGAAUAGUUAGGAGAACAGCUUUUAGUUAGAUAGUCACCUAACCUUGCAUCGUUGAAUUUGCUGAAACGAACAACAUAGCAGUAGUGCAUGUUCUGGAGGGCACUGAUUUUUAAAUCAAGGAAAUGAUUAUCUCCACUUUCUUUUACGAUGCUGAAACCCCAGAAGAGAAGAGUUAACGCGAAAAGUUCUAGCGGCAUUCCAAUGAAGAGCCUUAAGGUCCAGAAUUCACACUCAAGAGCAAGUGAAUAUUAAAUAUGAAACGAGAAGUUCAACACUCGGCUCGCCGAAAUUUAUCCGCAAUGUGAAAAGUGGCGUGUGCUUAGACUAAUAAUUCAUUGAGCAUUACCCUCCGAUUAGGAGUAGAAUACCAACUCGCCGUAGAAUCAGAAGGCUAGAAGGGCUAUGGUACUAACACUGAAUGAUGUAUUCAUGUCUUGGCCACUUGAACCCGCAGUUUAUCAUCUCAAAUGCAAGUAUUGGAAAAGAAAGUGCUUUCAAGAAUGUGGAAACAGAUAGAGAAGCAUGGACUUAUAGUAGAUAUUCUACUAGCUCAAAACAUAUUCAGCCUCAAGAUUAAGCAUAAUACUCUCAGUAUUUUGGAUCUUACUCAUAGGCUUGUUGAUAAGCUUUCAAGGCACCUUUGAAAUCACCAGAAGAAUCCAAGGCAUUUCCGUAGUUGAUCAAAGCAACCGCUUGUCCCUGACAUGAGAAGAAGCACUUAAAAAGUAACAUUAUUGCCACAGAACUAAUGAAAUUGCAACUAAGGUUUAGGAACGUGGCAGUAUAGCAGGACUUGCAGAGAAUCAACAGAAAAUAGCGUUCACAAGAAGACCUUGCCAUAGCAUGAUUUUGACCAUUAAAUCUGAAGGAUCUGGGCGAUACACCCAAACCAUUCACAAUAAAGAACUUAGAGGCAGAAAAAGAAUGAGAAAGGGUAUUUCACAACACUUCGAUAAUUUAGUGCAAAUCGUAACAGCCCUUGACGAAACAAUUAGCCUGUGAUAUAGUCUUCUACCGAUGCAGGGUAACAUGCUGCCAAGAAACAACCCACCUCGUCAUGAUGCACUCGCUGGCAGACCUUAUAGCUCUUAAGAUGCCAUUUCUUGGCCUUUUCAUAAUUGCAAAGAUUGCAAUAAGAUUCACCAAUAGUAUCCAAUGCAUCUCCCAUCUUCUCUAAAUCUCCAAGAGCGUCCACGACUUUCUUCAACCGUUUAGCAAGCUUUAAAUGCUGAAAAGAGCAGGAGCACGAACAAAAUUCAUUGACAUGAAACUAACUUAACUGUCGAGGGAAUAAUAGAGAUAACUAAGUGCGUUGAUAGAGGAAGAGUCGCGGUUUCCAUUCACAAAGAUUCAGGCCUUGAAGGAUUGACAAGGAAAUUGCAGUUUAGAGCAAAAGCUUAAGGCUAUAGGCAGGAUUCACUUUUCGAAUGACCACUAAGGCUGGUCCAUCAAACAUAAAGUUUAACAAAGAAUUUGAUGACAUCACAAGACACAAGUGAAUAUCCAAGGUCAAAUGACAUCAGAAUCCUCCUUCUGGUGGUUUUUCUAGUUCGUAAGAAGCGCCUCACUUAUCAUCCCAAAAAAUAUGUGGACAAGAACUCACACCUCUUCCCAAUAUUGCAGUUCAAAGGCCUGCCCGAUGAGCUCUUUCAAAACUUUGAACUCCUUCAGACAAAGGCUUCUCUCUAAUGCUGUGCCCCGAGCUGUAUCCACUUGCGAUUGCAAUUCCUUGUGCUUUGCCAAACUCAAGUUAAAGGCCUUUAAUUUGGGUAUAGCAGCCUCCACAACUUCUUUGUUUGUCUCCACUGUUUUCAUCAACCCGUCCUCGUCCUGCAAUUUUCUUACGAUCACGUGCGCCAGAUUGUAGCAUCUUAUGGCAUCUAUGUAUUGUCGCUGUUUGAAGUGAAUAUCAGCCAAGUUAAUCAAACCUUUAACCUCACCUUGAGGAUGUGGAAGUGCUCGGCAAAUCUCAAUAUCCUUCAAUACAUGAGACAUGGCCUGAGCCCACUGGCGCUUUUCCGCGUAAAGGCGCCCCAAGUUGUGGUGCACUCGGGUCCUAGCAGCAUCAUUCUGGCCAACCUCUUCUUCAUCACAUAUUCUAAGUCCUUGCAACAAAAGUCUUCGUGCUUCCAAAGGUUCAUCAGUAACCAUCUUCAUUGUACCAAGGUUGUUAUAAGCAUCAACCAGUUCUACAAUAUAAGUUGAGGCAUAGCCCGGCACAGGAUUGGCUUUCAGCUUUUUAACAAGCUCCAUAGCCUUAUUGAAUGAAUCUUUUGCUUUAGGCAAUGCCAGCACGUCUUCUUGAAACUCAUACAUAUCCAUGUAUGUUCGUCCCAGCUGCGUGUAAGCCCUUUGUUGCUCAACCAGAUCAUUUGCUUCCACAGAAAGCUCUAAAUGCCGUUCCUGGCAACCAUAAUAUGGGUUAGCGUAUGCUUCCAAACUUCUAAACUUCGAUUGCAAUCGAGAUCGCAAGUCCUAAACCCGUCCCAGAUUAGGUUAAGCGAUGCAAAAGAACUUUUCGCGAGUGUUGUAACUUCCUUUGGUGACGAGACCAUACACUUCAUCACAAUAAAAACAUGCUUCACACUGCAAGACAAAAGGAAAAAAAUGACAAUCGCAAAAUGUGGACACUUCUCAAAUAAAUAAUGAUUCCAUUAGAAAGUUUUAGCAAACCGUACAGUACCGAUUGACCAUUCAAUAUGACUGAGAAAAUCUCAGAAAAAAAGGUAAAUUUUAAAAAGUUGUAAAUAAAUGCUGUCAAGGCUUAUCAGGAAAUUAGGGUUAAAAUACACCUGGUAGUGCAGGGCUUGUCGAUAAUCCCCAAGGCGAUGGUAGAUCUCUCCGAGCGACUGGCAAGUUGGCAUCAAAUUCAGGCGCGGGCCGUCGAAUUGUCGUUUCACGGAAAUGUCGUAAUCCAAACGAAACCAGGUAAGAGCGUCCACAUAGUCACCACGGUCUUUGUAAGCAUGACCAAUUUGGUUAGCCCAGCGAGCCUCUUCUUCCCGAUCUCCACUCUCCUUAGCAGCCCUAUAACAGGCUUUCAUACCUUCCGGGCCAUCCGCCUUCUUGCCCCUCCUACCCAUGAUGCCUCACUUCACAAACUGGCAGCACUGACACUUCGGCAAACUACAGCUUCAAGUUUCACUUUAGAGGAGUAGAAAAGUAUCCGCAUGCUUAGGCGAGGAUAAUUCACGCACGAGUACACAUUCUAACCUCGCCACUACUCCAGCACAAGUAGCAAAAUCCACAACACAGAAAUUUCCUGAGCUUCUGGGUUGCGUCGAUCACGAUGUAUUCCAUCGAAAUAAUACCCUCAUUCACAAAGCAAGGAUGAAAAUCCGAUCAAAGGAGUCCUAAUAAAUUAGGUAUAGGAGGCGGUGCCCAACUCGACCUUAAAUUCAAAGAACUCGCGAACUGGAGGCACGGUGUAAAACCCUUUCUCAAGUACGUGGUCGAGUAUAUGUAUUUCAUUUCGAUGAUUUCCAAGCGAGACUUCCGGAAUAUGGACACAUGAAUGCCUUGUAACUUCCUUCUUCAUUUCUUCCUGACCAGGGUUAUUCCUAAACCUCUAAAACCUGCAACCGAUGUUUCAGAAAGUACAAUGACAUCGAAUGAAUCACACCACCCGCACCCUCAAAACUUUUUGCCACACAUCACAGAAUCCCAAAUCUGACGCUGCCUACGAGAUCCACGCUCGCCAUCCUGCAUUUCCAGGUCUCGAGAAAGAUUCAGACAACAAUUGCGGCGGACUUCGAGCGCGCAAACUGCGACGAGAACCCGGUUUCGAAAGGCUUGCAAUCCUAAGGCCUCAAAAAAUUGGCGCCAAAGUGCAAUACUCUCUGUGGCCGGAGCACACAUGUUUGUGGCAUAUUGGCAAAAAAUAGAUUGGACGCGCCCUGUCAUGGGCCUACAUUACACCUCGAUUCUUCCAAUUUCGUUCGACUGUCAAUUGUUACCGAGAAAAAUGCUUUCUCCUUGGCAUACUACAGUCGUGUGGGGCAAGAAAUUUGAUAGCUCGCUUUCUGCUUCGUCGCUGCAUUUUUACGGCGGGAGUCAAUACAUUUCGCGACACGUUCUGCUUCCUUGUUGAAUGGCACAUUGUCAUCGUGAGAUGCUAUUCAUUCUGCAGUACCGGUAACUCGAUCGUCAAGCUUUGUGGUAAAGGGGUUAUAUAGAGUGCUUAGGGCACAUGGCUGAUUAGGACGGACUCGUAAGGCAAUAUCAGUUCGUUGUAAGUUUUCGCAUCUAUUGAGCUCCUGUAAACAUCGAAUCAGAAUCAUUCCAAAGUGUUGUAGACGUUCAUCACUGUUGCAUGAUGAACCUCGGAGAUAGGUUAUUGAGAAUUGAAGGGCAGCUGGCUUUCUGGGAUAUUCAUAUGAAGGAAGAAUCAGCCGUUCACUGUGGGCUCCAGGGUGAUGAAGCCCAUUCUGCCACAGGAUGACUUUGCAUGUUGAAGAUUUUUAUCGAGCUGGAACGCAUCACAGUGACUCACCUAAUCUCAUGCAGUACAAAAUAUGCAGAAAAAUCCAGGUUCAGACACUUAACUCGAGUUAGAUAAUAUCUGCACAACUUUAUUAUUUCGUGAACUCUCCUGCGUGACUUAGCAUCGCCAUAGUCGAUAGAUGAAAAAGCACUGUAACAACAUUCUCAGAACUUGUGACCCUAAUCUUAUAACUACAUGGGUUUGCACUGCCCUAUGAGUAUAACUUCGUGAAUAUUACACUCUUUUACUAGAUGAAUUACAUAAGGCUUGAGUAACGCAAUCGAGGUAGCAAUUUACGAAUUGCUUCGAUGACAUGCUCCGAGGUUAUUGUUGCGCUGCUUCAAUUCUUUACACAACCGAAAUCACUGACACGUAUGGAAUAUUAUGCUAACAACAUGUUUACAACAGAUUGUGUGACUCGCCGUUGUGGUGGCCUCAUCUCCUGUUAAACCGACGCCCAAGUUUGACAAUCACACGGUCUCCAUCACCUGCCGAAAUAAUAUUGUCGAGUCGUCUGCUUAACUGGAAGGAAACUGAGGAGACUGGCAUCCUACAGCUCCUUGUGACCCUUCCCCAAUUUCAUUAUCUGGGCAUAUGCGUCUUUUACUAAAUUGUACUCUGGGUACUUCUGCAUCAACACUGUACAAACGAACAAGAAUCAUGCAGCGCCGUCAUCAGUAGCCGAAACUAGAUCUCACCCCUCUCAGCUUUGUCAUAGAUGAUUCCAAGUGCACUAAUCGGAUCUGAUAUGGCCUCUAACUUCAUAGUUGUGUCUAGGAUCGCCUCUGCUUGAUUCCACCUAAAUAAUCUAACAACACAAACUUCCGGCCCAAGUUCAAUUGCCUAUGGGACUAAAGUUCUGCCGCAUAAAUUUGAGAUUAUAAACAUACGAAACGGAAUACAAAACAUGAAUUGUCAGCUCGAUCUAACAUGCCGCUCAUCAGUACAUCGCUAAGAAACGUUUGAUCGGAUCUGGAAAAUGCUAGGCUGUAAGCUUGCAGUUAUCAACAUCAAUCGCAUGCUCACUACAUCAUCUAGGCUGCAAAGAUGUCACCGGAAACAUUUCGAACUUAGUCCUACACCGCGCUGACCUCCAAAUAGGAGUACAAACAUGUUGGGUACGAGACAAAUCCUCACAUACAGCGUCCAACUCUCCAAGAAAACAUUGUACUGAAGUGAAGAAGCAUGCGAUGAUGGAUACGGGAGAAACAGUGCGGCAAUGCUACGAGACAGAAUAUGUGCAGAUUCAAGGAUAGUACCUCGGAAGAGAAGGCCAAGAGCCAUGAGACCGACGAUGGCGGCAAAGAAGGAAACAAAGCGCUUAGGGUCAUCUCGCACCAUCUUCCCUCCUUCCAUCGUUUUGGCGCCGCUGGCCUUGAUGGCGCCCGUGCCCUUCUGUACGUAGGGAUUGUUCACCACGGUCUGAUGAGCCUGGACGGCUCUCUGACGCAACGUAUUCACAACCGGGUGGUUGGCCACAGUGUCGGCGUGUUUCUUCAUAGAGGGAUGGAUCCUGUCAAGCAACGUAUUCCAUCUCCCUGCAGCAGCGGCCGGCACAGCAGAAGCUACCGAAUCGGGUGAUUCUGAUGCCGGGGUGGGUUCCUCAGCUUUUUUGCUUUCUGCUUCGUCAUCGCUGCUGGAGCUGCCACUGUCGUCUGCUGCAGGAGGCUGGGUUUCAGACUCCUCUGUCACGGCAGGUGUUGGCGCAUCCGUGGGAUCGGUCGCGGCAGGAAGCUCAAACGAUCUUGAUUCCUGCUCCACAGUUGGUUGAACAUCGCCUGCUCCAUCGACCACAUCCGCCAUCUUAAUUGCCUUUCGUCACGCUGCAACUUCAAUCCUACCUCAGAUCUGCAGCUUCCUUCAACAGAACUGCAAAACUUCAAUCCAAUCUGAUUCGCUGGCUGCGAAACCUUGAUGCCCGGUUAUGGCGGUUACAAUCUGAGGGAUUUUAGUGCACUGUCACCGCAAUGUUGACUAGGAAUUGACUACAACCAUCAGGUGUUAGAAGUGCACUCCAAGAACUAGUAUGAUCCCCGCCAGAUUAU
This 39153-nucleotide long non-coding RNA is filed under the name Physcomitrium patens. Its description in RNAcentral is "long non-coding RNA (PPAT_LNC004001)". The record is from RNAcentral. Lineage: Eukaryota; Viridiplantae; Streptophyta; Bryopsida; Funariales; Funariaceae.